CGAACGCUGGCGGCGUGCUUAACACAUGCAAGUCGAACGGAAAGGCCCUGCUUUUGUGGGGUGCUCGAGUGGCGAACGGGUGAGUAACACGUGAGUAACCUGCCCUUGACUUUGGGAUAACUUCAGGAAACUGGGGCUAAUACCGGAUAGGAGCUCCUGCUGCAUGGUGGGGGUUGGAAAGUUUCGGCGGUUGGGGAUGGACUCGCGGCUUAUCAGCUUGUUGGUGGGGUAGUGGCUUACCAAGGCUUUGACGGGUAGCCGGCCUGAGAGGGUGACCGGCCACAUUGGGACUGAGAUACGGCCCAGACUCCUACGGGAGGCAGCAGUGGGGAAUAUUGCACAAUGGGCGGAAGCCUGAUGCAGCAACGCCGCGUGCGGGAUGACGGCCUUCGGGUUGUAAACCGCUUUCGCCUGUGACGAAGCGUGAGUGACGGUAAUGGGUAAAGAAGCACCGGCUAACUACGUA
Molecule: ribosomal RNA, 466 nt
Filed under: uncultured bacterium
Lineage: Bacteria
Description: partial 16S ribosomal RNA
Rfam family: Bacterial small subunit ribosomal RNA
Source: RNAcentral